UACAGGGACUGCGAGCGUUAUUCGGAUUCACUGGGCGUAAAGGGUGCGCAGGCGGCCGAGUGUGUGAGGCGUGAAAGCCCGGGGCUUAACCCCGGAAUUGCACCUCAAACUACACGGCUAGAGCAUUGGAGAGGGUAGCAGAAUUCAUGGUGUAGCAGUGAAAUGCGUAGAUAUCAUGAGGAAUACCAGAGGCGAAGGCGGCUACCUGGACAAUUGCUGACGCUCAGGCACGAAAGCGUGGGGAGCAAAAGGG
RNAcentral lists this ribosomal RNA (253 nucleotides) under uncultured bacterium. RNAcentral's name for it is "partial 16S ribosomal RNA". It matches the Rfam family "Bacterial small subunit ribosomal RNA", at positions 524 to 776 of the family's 1533-position model. The record is from RNAcentral.